UAGGGAAUAUUGGUAAUGGGCGAAAGCCUGAACCAGCAACGCCGCGUGUGCGAUGAAGGCCUUCGGGUCGUAAAGCACUUUUGACCGGGACGAGGAAGGACGGUACCGGUGGAAUAAGCCUCGGCUAACUACGUGCCAGCAGCCGCGGUAAAACGUAGGAGGCGAGCGUUAUCCGGAUUUACUGGGUGUAAAGCGCGUGCAGGCGGUUAGCCAAGUUGGGUGUGAAAGCUCCUGGCUCAACUGGGAGAGGUCGCUCAAGACUGGCUACUCCGAGGUUGGUAGGGGA
Molecule: ribosomal RNA, 286 nt
Filed under: uncultured bacterium
Lineage: Bacteria
Description: partial 16S ribosomal RNA
Rfam family: Bacterial small subunit ribosomal RNA
Source: RNAcentral